CCCUAGUAACUGCGAGUGAAGCGGGAAAAGCUCAAAUUUUAAAUCUGACGGUCGUUCUGGUCGUCCGAGUUGUAAUCUAGAGAAGCGUCUUCCGCGCUGGACCGUGUACAAGUCUCCUGGAAGGGAGCGUCAUAGAGGGUGAGAAUCCCGUCUUUGACACGGACUACCAGUGCUAUGUGAUGCGCUCUCGACGAGUCGAGUUGUUUGGGAAUGCAGCUCAAAAUGGGUGGUAAAUUCCAUCUAAAGCUAAAUACAGGCGAGAGACCGAUAGCGAACAAGUACCGUGAGGGAAAGAUGAAAAGAACUUUGGAAAGAGAGUUAAACAGUACGUGAAAUUGCUGAAAGGGAAACGCUUGAUGUCAGUCUCGUCCGCCAGGGAUCAACCUUGCAUUAUUU
This 396-nucleotide ribosomal RNA is filed under the name Xerocomus subtomentosus. RNAcentral describes it as "LSU rRNA". It matches the Rfam family "Eukaryotic large subunit ribosomal RNA", at positions 78 to 465 of the family's 3401-position model. Lineage: Eukaryota; Fungi; Basidiomycota; Agaricomycetes; Boletales; Boletaceae. The record is from RNAcentral.